Molecule: ribosomal RNA, 253 nt
Filed under: uncultured bacterium
Lineage: Bacteria
Description: partial 16S ribosomal RNA
Rfam family: Bacterial small subunit ribosomal RNA
Source: RNAcentral
UACGAAGGGGGCGAGCGUUGUUCGGAAUUACUGGGCGUAAAGGGCGCGCAGGCGGCCUUAGAAGUCAGAUGUGAAAGCCCCGGGCUCAACCUGGGAAUGGCAUUUGAUACUCUGAGGCUGGAGUACGGGAGGGGAGAGUGGAAUUCCCAGUGUAGAGGUGAAAUUCGUAGAUAUUGGGAAGAACACCGGUGGCGAAGGCGGCUCUCUGGACCGUAACUGACGCUGAGGCGCGAAAGCGUGGGGAGCAAACAGG